Callithrix jacchus (white-tufted-ear marmoset) is the source of this 107-nucleotide small nuclear RNA. Lineage: Eukaryota; Metazoa; Chordata; Mammalia; Primates; Cebidae. The record is from Ensembl.
GUACUUGCUUCAGCAACACAUAUACUAAAAUUGGAACAACAGGGAGAAGAUUAGCAUGGCCCCUGUACAAGGAUGACACGCAAAUUCGUGAAGCAUUCUAUAUUUUU